This 28-nucleotide small RNA is filed under the name Bombyx mori (domestic silkworm). Its description in RNAcentral is "ovarian small RNA-25567". The record is from RNAcentral. Lineage: Eukaryota; Metazoa; Arthropoda; Insecta; Lepidoptera; Bombycidae.
UCAGAAUCCCCGGGGCAGCGUGCUCCCA